This 344-nucleotide long non-coding RNA is filed under the name Lathyrus oleraceus (garden pea). RNAcentral describes it as "Pisum sativum (pea) long non-coding RNA (PSAT_LNC030057)". Lineage: Eukaryota; Viridiplantae; Streptophyta; Magnoliopsida; Fabales; Fabaceae. The record is from RNAcentral.
AGGGGGAGUCAUAUUGUAUCUAACUCUGAGUUAUUUUCCUCUCUAUCUUGUGAAGUACCAUCAUUUCAUCAAUUGUCUGAAGUUUUUGUCAUCAUCAAAAAGGGGGAGAUUGUUAGAACAAGAUUUUGGUUCUGUGAUAAGUGCAUAUUUAUGCACAAUUCUCCUACUUUUUACUUAGGCAUUUCUUUAUUUUAUUUUGUUUAUUUUUAUAUUUUAUUAUGUUUUCAUAUUUUAUUUUAUUUUUAGUUUAAUUUAAUUUUCGCACUUAUUUUUCAGCUUUAGCAGUCUGCGCGGAAACGAUCAUAACUGGAGUUCCGGGAAUCCGUUUGAGGCGUUCUAAAAAU